AUUGAACGCUGGCGGCAUGCUUUACACAUGCAAGUCGAACGGUAACAGGCCGCAAGGUGCUGACGAGUGGCGAACGGGUGAGUAAUGCAUCGGAACGUGCCCAGUCGUGGGGGAUAACGCAGCGAAAGCUGCGCUAAUACCGCAUACGAUCUAUGGAUGAAAGCGGGGGACCGUAAGGCCUCGCGCGAUUGGAGCGGCCGAUGUCAGAUUAGGUAGUUGGUGGGGUAAAGGCUCACCAAGCCGACGAUCUGUAGCUGGUCUGAGAGGACGACCAGCCACACUGGGACUGAGACACGGCCCAGACUCCUACGGGAGGCAGCAGUGGGGAAUUUUGGACAAUGGGCGCAAGCCUGAUCCAGCAAUGCCGCGUGCAGGAAGAAGGCCUCGGUUGUAAACUGCUUUGUACGACGAAACGGCUCUGGUUAAUACCUGGGCGUAAUGACGGUACCGUAAGAAUAAGACACCGGCUAACUAACGUGCCAGCAGCCG
Molecule: ribosomal RNA, 489 nt
Filed under: uncultured bacterium
Lineage: Bacteria
Description: bacterial SSU rRNA
Rfam family: Bacterial small subunit ribosomal RNA
Source: RNAcentral